GUCGGAUCUGCAGCGGACCAAAUUGACGGACCAGCAAACGGACCGAAGGAAAAAAGAAACGCGCGGGUCAAAAAAAUGAAAACAGUACGAAGCAAAGACCAAAAAGAAAAAGAAACGCGUUCUCUCUCUUCCCUCUCUCUCAAACCUUUCCUCCCCCUCUCUCAAAGCGAGCAGAAGACUCCCUCAGAAGACUAAGGAUGAGGAAGUGUUUGGAUUAGUGUAUAAAAGAUGGCUUGGCUUGCAGAGCACCGAGAGGAAGAAGCUCUCUGCUCGAGCAUGACCACACAUGCUCCGGAAGAUGGCGGCUCGAUUCACUCGCCUCCAUCCCCUGGAUCUCUCUCAGUCUGUUUGUCGCUCUUUCUACCCGGGCGUCACCGAUUCCGAUCUCUCUGUCAUAGCUACUUCCUUCACUUGCUCGCGCUCUCUCAAUCUUCAGAAUUGCAAAGGUCACUGAAACACAAUCCCACAUUGUGUUUCCUGUUACAAAUUUUGCCAAUAAUUUGGAUUUGGGUUAAUUAGGGAUCUGGUAAAAUGUUUAAAAUUUCAAUUUGAAACACAAUCCCACAUUGUGUUUGGAGGCUCAUUUCAUGCUAUGGAAUUGUGCUAUGGAAUUGGAAUUUUGGUACAAAACUAGUUUAGAAUUUGAAUUGGCAUGAACACCGGCAUUUUCUUAUUUAAUAUCCAAUUUGUGUUCUGGGUUUCUUUACAGCGAGUUUUAGUCGAGUCAAACUUUGAACUUAAUGUGUGAGCUUUAGUCCAAUUUGUGUUCUGUUGCUGAGGGUUGUGCCAGCUUGAAGAGGUUGCAUCUUUCUGGUUGCAGAUUUGUUACGGAUGCACUAUUAGGAGCUCUUUCUAGAAACACUCAUAAUUUAGAAGAGUUGGGUUUGCAAGGCUGCACCAACAUAACUGACUCUGGACUUGUCGUUCUUGUUGAUGGGUGUCAACGGAUGAAGUAUUUAGGCAUCAACAAGUGCAACAAUGUUGGAGAUAAUGGAAUAUCCGGUAUAUCAAAAGCAUGCUCAGCUUCUCUGAAGAUCCUGCGGAUGGAUUGGUGUUUGAAUGUUUCCGACUCUUCAUUGAACUGCAUCCUCUCUCACUGGCUGCUGCCUGUAAUGUCAAUCCUCUCUCACUGCAUCCUCUCUUAUUUAGUCGAUAAAGUCAUUGGGGCUGAUACGGCAGUUUGGCUUGCCCUGCUUCCGGACCAGUUUGUGACUGGAAAAUUUUUCGCAUAAAGGCGUGAGAUUAAUUUCUGAAGGGGUUGCCUAGUUAAUUCAACUGCUAAAUGUGAGCAAACACAACUGUGGCACUUUGGGAUUGCUAUUUUAUCUCUAUUUUAGUGAAUUUGUUUAGUUUCUUUUUCAUACGGCGUCCAUCUGCAAAAUUGUAAAUCUCUAAAUAAAUGCCGAAAAUAGGAAAACAGGCAACCAAUUAAGAACUCUAAACAUGAAAUCUCAAACAGAGCAACCGCAUGUAGAUAUACAAAAUGAAAACAGCAUUACAUUAAGCAAAAGUCAUCGCGUACUUUACAAUCCAAUACGAUGUUGUUUCAUCUUCAAACCCAUAUAUGAAGUCCAUCCAUUUGAACUUACAUGGAUUAGAACACAAAUUAAUUUAAAAUAUAGAAGAUUGUAUAACACAGUGAAUAAACACCAUGGCUAUAAUGACAUUCUAGUAGGUAACGACAAAACAAUUUUGGUCUUAUAUAAGGGAUUCAUGCUAACAAUCAUUCAAGUGGUUAUAAUAUAUCAUUACCAAAAUUUUACGGUGUAUGUAAAAAGGUUAAAAAUGCAAGUGCUACUCAAAUAUUAACUGAAGUUAGCAUACUUAGUCUUGUACUCUUGUUUCCUUUGUCACAGUAUAAGUGUAGUAUGAUAAUAUGCAGAGAUAUAUGCAUUACCCGUACUACUUUCUAAACCAACAAGCCUGGUUUAAGUGUUGUAGUUUUGAAUAUAAAUUGUUAACAAUUUGGCUUUCUCAAGAGGUAAAUUUCAAGAGCCAUCCUAAUAUAAGUGUUCGGUUGGUUUCUCUGAAUUGAACAAAAAAUGAGAGUAGAAACACAACAAAAAGCAAAUAAAAUGCAAAUUAGUACAGAUAUAAGUAAUGCCCAAAAGUAAAAAUAAAAAUAUACAACGUAGAAAGUAUAUAUACAGGAAGCAGUUUAUACUUUGCAACAUAGUUAUCACCAAUACACUCCCCCCCAAAACAAACUCUAGAUCUUUGUAGAAAAACAAACCCCAAAACAGAAAUUACAAAAUUAAGUAGCAAUCUUUACCUUCUGAGGAACCUUCCCUUCCAAUUUGCAACAGAACCUGUUCGAAUCCCUUGCCUUCCGAUUUGCUUUAGGCUCGCUUUUAGAGAAGGGGAGAGAAAGGUCGCUUUGAGAGAGAAUCGGAAGAUUGGGUUAGCGAGAGGGAGUCUUCUUAAUAGAUUAUUUUGAAACGCGAGUGAAGGAGUCUUCUGCUCGCUUUGAGAGAGGGGGAAGGAAAGGUUUGAGAGAGAGAGAGAGGGAAGAGA
This 2514-nucleotide long non-coding RNA is filed under the name Panax ginseng (ginseng). Its description in RNAcentral is "long non-coding RNA (PGIN_LNC009316)". Lineage: Eukaryota; Viridiplantae; Streptophyta; Magnoliopsida; Apiales; Araliaceae. The record is from RNAcentral.